RNAcentral lists this ribosomal RNA (632 nucleotides) under Pherbina intermedia. RNAcentral describes it as "partial 12S ribosomal RNA". The stretch from base 414 to 485 matches the Rfam family "tRNA". Lineage: Eukaryota; Metazoa; Arthropoda; Insecta; Diptera; Sciomyzidae. The record is from RNAcentral.
UGAGUAGUAGUAGUUAUGUUCUUGAAACUUAAAAAAUUUGGCGGUAUUUUAGUCUAUUCAGAGGAACCUGUUCUGUAAUCGAUAAUCCACGAUGGACCUUUCUUGCUCUUGAUUUCAGUUUAUAUACCGUCGUUAUCAGAUGAUUUUAUAAGAAAAAUAAUUUUCUAGAAUUUUUAUUAGAAUGUAUAUCAGAUAAAGGUGUAGCUUAUGAGUAAGUAGAAAUGGGUUACAAUAAAUUUAUUUAUAUGGAUAUAGAUUUGAAACUUCUAUUGAAAGUGGAUUUGAUAGUAAAAUAAUAUAGAUUAAUUAUUUGAUUUUAGCUCUAAAAUAUGCACACAUCGCCCGUCGCUCUUAUUACUAAGAUAAGAUAAGUCGUAACAUAGUAGAUGUACCGGAAGGUGUAUCUAGAAUGACAACUUAAAGCUUAUAGAGAAAAGUAUUUCAUUUACACUGAAAAGAUUAUUGUGCAAAUCAUUAUAGGUUGAUCAAUAUUUAUUUAUUAAUUUUAUUAGUUUGAAGUUUAUUUUAUUAAAAAUAAUUAUAUUUUGAAUAGUUUUAGUAUUGUGUAACGAAAAAAUAAUAUUAAUUAUAGUUUAUUAGUAUUGUAUAAGAAUAUUGAAAUAAGUGAAAAA